CAGAGGUCACUUCCGGUUGAAAAAAAAUCAUCAUGGUCGAUUCUACUGAAAGAGGAAUAGAAUAAGAAAUUACGUUUCUUCUACACAAAACAAGUUCAUUCAUAAUUGCUUAAGUUCAAAAACUGAUAUUUUGUUUCCUCAGAUUUUAACUCCACUUUUGCAAUAUACCCCGCUACUCUGAGUCAGUAACUGAAAACACUGUGUAGAACCCAUUAUUGCAUAUAUUUAAUAAACCGCCAUCAUUGGUUCAGUCGUCACUGUGUAAUCAGGAACUACGAAGUCGACUGCGAUAUUUUCCUACAGACAUAGUUGAAAGUAUUUCUUACGACUGUACCUGUUAUAAGUAGUAAAUACUAUUUGUGAAAAUUGAGGAUUUGAUGGAAACAACGGUGUGCUUAAGAUAUCAAAUGCUAGCAGAUGGUAAAGAAGGGGGCUGAAACGAUGACGUAAACACACAAAUAAAUGACGUAAAACGUAUUUAUGUGAUUAAUUGGAGGAAAUUACAACAAAGAGCGAAGUCGUGUCGAAAUUCUCCUCUCCAUGACGAGGUAAGGCAACUUUUACACCUCUGCUAGGUUUGGGAUCAUCCCAAGAACAUUUCCCUACACCUGUACGAUCUAAUUGAGAUCAGAUUGUAAACCUUAUACUUAUAAAUUUGCUAUUUAAUAACAACAGGUGAAGUGGAAGAAGCUAUAUGGUUACAGAUGUUUAUGUCAGGUUUGUUGUUGCUGUUAAAAAAUAAACAUGAGUAGAUUUUGUUUACUUUUGGAUGCGUGUUGCAUAUUUGUGUUUUUUUUUUUAUUUAUCGCAUCGUUAAACAAAUAACUGCAGUUUCACAUAUUAAUUGGUGAAACCAAUUGGAAACAUAAUCCUUAUUUGUGAAGAUUUGUCAUCAUCUGAUGAGAAAUAAACUGGUUUGACAGGGAGUAUCGGGAAGGAGACCUUAGUGAUGUGUAACGGGCUAAUUUCUUUUCUUUCUUUAUUUCAUUCGUGUCAUUCUCUUAUUUUGUAGAUAUAUUUGGAAACAGUUUACUUCGAUAUUCUUUCCCACCAUCAAACCCGUAUUUUUUUUUUUGUAAUUCUUUUUUUUUUUCUCUCUCUCUCUCUGAUUGAGGUUAAAAAAUUGGCAUAACUACAGAUGUAUACCUCACUCCCGACUUCGUUGCCUGGCGGAGGUAAAGGACAUGGACCGCACCCCAUUUCGGAUAUUUUUUUUUUUUUUUUGACUGCGGAGAUUCCGAAUCUGCAAAAAAUCCAAAAAAAAUCGGCAUUUCAAAAUUUUAAUUCCCUACUCCUACCCCAAAUUUUUCACCUUUUUAGAAAUUUGUUUUGGCGAAAUACGUAGAAAAAUACGGAGAUUAUCAUUCUGUGAAAAAGAAAAUUUUGUAAAAUUUAAAUUUUUCAAAAAUAAAUAAAUAAAUAUACACCCCUAACACUCCGUCAGCGCAUCUGUAACAGAAAGUGAACAUGUUGUGGUUGAGGGUUUUUGAAAUGAAGAAAGGUAUGCAAAAGUUUUGCACACACACACGACAACAAAAUUUUUAAAAAAUUUUUCUGUUUUUGGUAAUUCGUAUUUAGAAAGUGGAUCUUCGGUUUGGCUGUUGUUUCAAGCUUGUCGGACUUUACGGUUGAAAACCCCCAAAACAAAGUUCUAUAUUUAAGAGAUGAGGAAUUAUGUACAUUAUUUACAUUAGACGGAUAUUUGUCCUCAUGUUGUUUAUUGUUAGCACAACGUUUCGGCAUCAGGUGUCUUGGGGAAAUUUCGAACCUGGGUUCUCAUUCUUACGGUAUUUUUCGAUUUUAUUAUUAUUAUUAUUAUUAUUAUUAUUAUUGAGUGAGAGAGCAGUUCAUGCCAUCAAAGUGACACUGGGGUAAAAUAUACGAAGCCCAAUAUACCCAUCAUGACUACCCGUCUGAUAAGGGUACACCAGGCACAUGCAUCGCAACCAUAUGUGCGCGACAUGGUGAUCUCAUAUCAAGAUAAACAGCACAUGACCUUGCAGGUGGGGCCCAGUUAGAAUUUUCUUCAGAUUGAGUAGCCCAUCCCGCUCAAAAGGUCCCUGAAUAAGGGUUGUCUAAGGAUGUUGGAAGAACCACCCAUGUUUCCAGAGGUGAAUUAUUCAAACCCCAAAGAAUCCCUCUCAACACAUGGCUAUGAUGCUCCCCCACUACUUCUGCUCGUGAUCAGAGAUGCACAUAUCAUCAGCCACUAAGGGACAUGCUCAACUGGUUACGGUCAAACAACUGACAAGCAAAUCUGUGGUAUUGAGCAGAAUAUUUGCUGUAGCCCAUCUUUUAUACCAAGACAAAACAAUGUACAUGAUAACACUUCCAAUCAGUUAAGAUCAGAAGCCAUGAGAGCCACUGCCUGGUACUGCAUCAGGGCGUUUAUUAUUAUUAUUUUUAUUAUUAUUCAGGUCACUGCUUGGAAUGGAACUCGGAAUCUUGGGGUUAAUAGCCCAUGCUCUUGACCACUACGCCAAAUGCCUGUGGGCAUAUGGCGUAGUGGUUAAGAGCGUGGGCUACUAACCCCAAGAUUCCAUGUUCAAUUCCAAGUAGUGAUCUGAACAACAACAACAAUAAUAAUAAUAAUAACAUCAAAAAAUACCUUAGGAAUGAGAACAUAGGUUCGAAAUUUCCCCAAGACACCUGAUGAAGGCUGGAGGGUAUAUCAGCCAAAAUGUUGUGUUAACAACAAAAAGAUGAGGACAAAUACCCGUCAAAUGUAAAUAACAACCAAAACACGUUUUCGGAGGUGGGGUAGGCAAUCAAAAUUUAGAAAUGCUGAUUUUUUUUUUUUUUGCAGAUUCGGAACCUCUGCAGUUGAAAAGGUGGGUUUCUGUUGAAAGAACAAAAAGAAUAAUAACCGAAAGGGGGUGCAGUCCAUGUUCUUUACGGAGGCCAAUUGAGUGUAUAUAAAGAUUUGUUGGAAAAACGUUUACCGAGGGAGUUGAGGAGGGAAGUUUUGGAAAAUUCACAAAACCCAAAACUUCCCCCCUCAUAACUUUCAGGAAAAUGGGUAUUUUGUAAUGAAAUUUUAUACAAAUGCCUUUCAAACGAUGUAGAUUACAAUUACAAAGAAAUUUGUAGGCAAAAUCUUUUGCACAGGGCGAGUUUCUGGAAAACAGUUUUGGAUCAGAUGGCUCACAUAAGUUGGAAUUUUUCUGUUUUGACGAGAAUUUUUCCAAUUUAUUCUUCAGUACAGUCUUAGGAAUGAUGGGAGGCAUCUUUUUAUGGCAAAACGAAAAAAAUUUUGAAAAUUUAUGAUUUUUUUCACUCCUACCAUCCCUUCACCACCCCAGUCUGAACCGAUUUUGGCCCAUUGUUUUUGUUUUUCACUAUGUAUUUAAAGCCCGUGAGAGAAACGUUUUCGGUUAAAAAAAAAAAAGGUUAAUAAUUUUGGAGGAAAAUGUGUGAUUUAAGGGAGAUCUAGCUGUUGUUUCUAGCACAUCCCAAAACCUCUCUCCUCCUUUCUUUCUCACUCUCACAUCUAUUGAUGUUUUUCAAAUAUUUCUCCCCAUAAACAUAUUUUAUGGAAUGAUGAUGCCAAAAUAACUCAUGCAUAGUCCAUUGCUGGGAUAUAAGCAAACGGAAAGAAAAAAUGGUAAUUUAAAUUUUUACUUGCACUCCAAUAAAGCGAGGCUGUGUGUGUGUAAGAAAAAAACAUGUUCUAACAGAAAAUUAUGCUAUCAAAAUAAAUCAUCUUUUACAUACCUCGCAUUAAAAUCACUCUGGAUAAAUCCCAGCAAUAAUCUUCUCAGGCUUUCCAAAAUUUUAGAAUUAUAUAAACAGAAACAAUCGGGAGCAGGGAGUGGGGCUAAAAAAAAUCAUAGGUUUAAAAAUUUUUCUCUUUUUUAUAGCAUAACUGUGUUUAUUGGGGAAAAUAUUGAAAAAUGUCAAUACAUAUUUAAGUGAGAAAAAACAGGGAGGGUGGUUUUGCGAUGUGCUAGAAACAACAGCCAAAUCUCCCUUAAAUCAAACACUUUUUCCUCUAAAAAGGUAAACAGUUUUUUUUAACCAGAAAGGUUUCUCCUGUGUUUUUUAAGAGCAUAGUGAAAAAAAACAACAAAAAUGGGCCAAAAUCGGUCUGGACUGGAGUGGUUGGGUGGUGGCAGGAGUAAAAGAAAAUCUUAAGUUUUUUUACAAAAAAUGCUUCCCGUCAUUAUUAAGACUGUGAUGAAAAAGAAAAAUUGGAAAAUAUCACCGUCAAAACAGAAAUUCCAACUUAUGUGGGCCAUCUAAUCCAAAACACCAUUUUCUAGAAACUUCUCCGCCCUAUCGCCGUCAAAACAGAAAUUUCAACUUAUGUGGCCAUCUGAUCCAAAACACCAUUUUCCAGAAACUUCUCCACCCUACACAAAAAAGUUUGCCGACAAAUUUCUUUGUAAUCAUAAUCUACACCAAAGGUUCUCAACCCAUUGUGGCCAAAGGUCCCCUUUUGACCCUUGGAGUCACAAAUGCCCCCCACCCUAGAAAAUAUUUUUAUUUUUCAAUAUACUACUUAUUUUGAUAUCAGGAGGUUAUUAAAAAAUAAAGGAUGUCAUUUUACAUAUGCACUUGUAUGCAUUCAGGAGUACAUAGGUACAAAUUGAAAUGCCAAACAAUGAAAUAGUGAAUUGAAAGUUUGGUAAUUGUGUUUAUUUACACCAUAUGACACUUACGUGAUCAAUGUGAUACAAAUAAAUUGUGGAGUAUGGUAUUCACAGUACUUGGAUCUAGUUAGUUUGAGUCACAAAAUCAGCUCACUUUUAAAAUGACUUUAAAGAAAUCUGAAAAUUUGCUAUAUUAAACAUUCCUUUCUUAAUCAGGAUCUAGUUUGUUUCAUUCACAAAAUC
This 4835-nucleotide long non-coding RNA is filed under the name Octopus vulgaris (common octopus). The record is from RNAcentral. Lineage: Eukaryota; Metazoa; Mollusca; Cephalopoda; Octopoda; Octopodidae.